Molecule: non-coding RNA, 117 nt
Filed under: Pan paniscus (pygmy chimpanzee)
Lineage: Eukaryota; Metazoa; Chordata; Mammalia; Primates; Hominidae
Also listed under: 1 other name
Source: Rfam by way of RNAcentral
GCUGGGCGUGGUGACUCACGCCUGUAAUCCCAGCACUUUGGGAGGCCGAGGCGGGAGGAUCACCAGCGGUCGGGAGUUCAAGACCAGCCUGACCAACAUGGAGAAACCCCGUCUCUA